RNAcentral lists this ribosomal RNA (563 nucleotides) under uncultured archaeon. RNAcentral describes it as "bacterial SSU rRNA". It matches the Rfam family "Archaeal small subunit ribosomal RNA", at positions 328 to 897 of the family's 1478-position model. The record is from RNAcentral.
GGGUGCAGCAGGCGCGAAAACUUCACAAUGGGAGAAAUCCCGAUGAGGGAAUUCCAAGUGCUAGCACUAUGUGUUAGCUGUUCUUUUGUCUAAAAAACAGAAGAAGUAAGGGCCGGGUAAGACGGGUGCCAGCCGCCGCGGUAAUACCCGCGGCCCGAGUGGUGGUCGAUAUUAUUGAGCCUAAAACGUCCGUAGCCGGUCUUGUAAAUCCUUGGGUAAAUCGGCCAGCUUAACUGUCCGAAGUCCGGGGAGACUGCAAGACUUGGGAUCGGGAGAGGUCAGAGGUACUUCUGGGGUAGGGGUAAAAUCCUGUAAUCCUGGAAGGACCACCGGUGGCGAAGGCGUCUGACUAGAACGAAUUCGACGGUGAGGGACGAAGCCCUGGGGCGCAAACGGGAUUAGAUACCCCGGUAGUCCAGGGUGUAAACGCUGCGGGCUUGGUGUUGGGGGUCCUUUGUGGGCGCCCAGUGCCGGAGAGAAGUUGUUAAGCCUGCUGCUUGGGGAGUACGUCCGCAAGGAUGAAACUUAAAGGAAUUGGCGGGGGAGCACAAGGGCGAUUCGCG